Sebastes umbrosus (honeycomb rockfish) is the source of this 970-nucleotide long non-coding RNA. RefSeq lists it as uncharacterized. The record is from RefSeq and is a predicted model, not a curated record. Lineage: Eukaryota; Metazoa; Chordata; Actinopteri; Perciformes; Sebastidae. The transcript has 5 exons.
GUGCACACUGAGGAGAGGUGGAGGAGGGUUGUGUUGUGCACGUUUUAAUUUAAAUAUAUCAUUAGUAACAGUAUAACUGCUGGAUGGCAGAAAGAGUCUGAAAACUACUAAAACUAUGUGAGGACAGAACAGAGAGAGAGGUUGUGACUGAACUAAGACUGAGGACUCUGCAGGACUCUGUCUGUCAGAAGAUCAGAAGAUCAAGAUGGGGGACAUUCAGGACAAAACCUCCACUGAGAACCAACAGAACCAGAUUCAUCACCAUCAGGCUUUACUCUUUGGGACUUCUUCAGAUGCAUCUGAACUGUGAGAUACUGCCAUGAGAAGAAGAAGGACAAGGAGGACAAGGAGAGGAGGUGUGGGACACUGAGGACAGACUGGAGACUGAUUCAGAGACAGCUGCUUGAGAGACCUCAACCUGCAGCCAAAGACAGGUUUCAUCAGACUGUGAGCAGCUGUGGUGGAAAGAGGCUUCACAAAGAGAACACCGUUAAAACUCAAUGGAUAAACCUCCAGACGUACCUGUGCAUCCAGCUCCAGGAUAUGAGACACCUUGUUCCAGCCGAAGCCCACGAAGCGCUGGUCGUACUCCGGACAGUCUCGUCUCACCACCACGUACGGCUCAAAGUCCGGCUCCCACUCCACCUUGUAAGGUACCUGAAGGUGUAGAGAGUCCCCAUGUCCAGCAUGGAGAGCAGCUCAGCUUUGGAUUUGGGGAAGGACAGACGGUAACGAAGCGUCUCGAACGCUGGAACCACCAGAGCCUUCUUAGUGUGAGCCAUGUCCAGCUGCACCACGGACCUCCUGCACGGAGGAAACACGACAGGUGAGACACAGACUGCAGACCGGAGCGCGCGGCUGGUCCUACCUGAGGUAAUCGUAGAGACCGUACAUCGGCAGGAAGUCCACGUCCGUCAGGAAGACAUAGGGCGUGUUGGCGUUCUUCAGGGCCACGUUCCUCACCAGGUUG